UGUGUCCGUCCUUGUGUGUGUCCGUCCGUGUGUGUCCGUCCGUGUGUCUGUGUGUGUCCGUCCUUGUGUGUGUCCGUCCGUGUGUGUCCGUGUGUGUGUGUGGCAGGGUUCACCUACACAGCUGCUACUCAUCAUCAAUCUCCACCAGUAUAUGACCGCAGCUCAUCCCUCCUGUCGUCACCAGAUCGCUCCAUCUACCAAUACUUUCAGCGAUGCCUUUGACUCCACCCAAUUCUUCAGAUGGAAAUGUGUUGCUGUGACUGUAGUUAUUGCAGGCGAUCCAUGCAUUGUGCAGCUGCCUAUAAUUGAUGCUGUCUGAGGAAAGAAGGACCGUCCUCUCCCACAGCUUGUAAUCCCUCCUGUCCGAGGAGGUCGUGGCCAUGUCGGGAGGCAUUCCAGACAUAGCCUCCAUUUCUCUCCCAUUAAACCGAUCACUGUGAGCUCUCUCCGCCCGGCUGGGCCGCGGUGCCGCUGCAGCAGGGUCCCCCUCUGCUGUGACGGAUUACAGCGUUGUUGAACAUAAACCCACCUACAUCGGCUUACACAGCUUUUUAUUUACAUUCAUCUACAGUAUCAUUAGCAUGAAUUAGAGAGCCAAAUCCAAAUGUCUGCACCUCGGUCACCCACCAAACGCUGAUCACAGAGCCCGACAAACGCUAGUGGUGUUCGACGAACAGCCUCCAACAUACAGUAACAGUGUGAGCUGUGGAAUUUCUACCACGUUAAUAGAA
Long non-coding RNA from Scophthalmus maximus (turbot), 731 nucleotides. RefSeq lists it as uncharacterized. The record is from RefSeq and is a predicted model, not a curated record. NCBI's taxonomy places the organism in Eukaryota, Metazoa, Chordata, Actinopteri, Pleuronectiformes, Scophthalmidae. The transcript has 4 exons.